RNAcentral lists this long non-coding RNA (8844 nucleotides) under Marmota monax (woodchuck). Lineage: Eukaryota; Metazoa; Chordata; Mammalia; Rodentia; Sciuridae. The record is from RNAcentral.
CUUCGCCCCCACCCAGCGGCGGCUGCUUCGGGCUUCUCGGCUCAAAAACAACAGCGGAGGCGCCGCCAGCUCCGCGCUCCGCCACUGCCCCGGCCGGCGGGCUGCACUCGGACCCGCCGUCCUCCGUACGGCGCCCAGCGACGGAGCGCAGCGCACUCUGCGUUGGGGGCGGCUUGGGGGCCGCCGUCCGAACACCGGGCGUCCUCUGCCCCGCGUCCCCCUGGCGUCCCGCACCUCUCCGCCUCGGGGGCGUAUCCGCGCGCUCUGGCCUCUGCUCCCCUGCUUGACUGCCGCCGUGGCCCCCAGGUGAGUACCCGGGUGCGCGAGCGCCAGGGCUGGGACACUUUCGGGAGCCGGGGGGCCUCUGCGGACCCCGCUGGCCUCUCGGGGACCCAGAUGCGUCCAGGCUGGAGGGCCAGCGGUGCAGGUGGAGGAGCGCGGGCGGGAGCCGACCAGGCGCUUCUUCUGCCCCAGCAACCCUCAAAUUGAGGCGCGGCAGCAGAGAGGUCUGCCUGGGCACCCGCAGGGUGGACCCAGCCCAGGGGCCUGAUGAAGUGAGUGCGGAUUCCUCAUUCAAGUAUGGAAAGCCGACAGAGGCGCUACCCUGACUGGUUCGCUGCCCCUCUCGUCCUUCCAGAGUAUCAAGGUUCCGCCAGGCAGGAAGACUUGGAGCUGUCACUGCGUCACCCGAGCCCGGGGCAGGGGUCGUGCCCACGGGUCCAGGUCUCUCUGCUACCCAGGGUGGGGCUCCUGUCCAUGCCCACCCACUCUUUGUUGUGCAAUGAAACCAGUAUCCGUUGCACUGAGACCUACACACGGAAACCUGCGUCUUUGCCUUUUGCCUUAAAUUGGCCACGGCUGCAGAGCUACGCCGAGGGCUCGGCCCCAGCAGAGACCAGAGAUGUGGGGCCUAGGGACGCAGGGCCCAUGCCACCCCAGAGGAAAAGCCCCUGCGGACCCAGACUAGAUGGUGUGCUGGGCCUUCCGCCUUCUAGUCUCAGAAGUCGACAGCCUCUUUCCUGCUGGGCUUCCUGCCCCUGUGAGAUUUCCAGGCGGUUGCCCAGUCCUGCACCCUACUCACUGCCCCGCAUGCGGAAGUGCUCACUGGCCACUGCCCCCAGGCUCUUUCUGGCCCUAGGUGAGUGUGUCCAGGAAGCCCUUCAGUGAGGUUCUGCAGAGGGUCUAUCAGACCAUUACUCACCCUCCCCACACUGACUACCUGUCCCCUGAGCUGGGACACAGGAGUAUCCGGCUUCCAGGGACAUGCUCUGUAGGUCUUGGUGGGGAGUUCCCAUGGCAGGCUAGGGCACUGUUUUAGGCCUGACCGGUCCUGGCAGCCUGUGAACCUGCUCACUCCCAUGGGAAUGGGGGUACUGUGCUGCCUAACCUUGGCCCAAGGGCAGGCUCCAGACUCAGAACCUAACCUGGCUGGGGCUGCUAGCCAGACAACUCAAGGUCACCCCUUUACUGCAGCAACCCAGGUGUCCCUUGCUCCUGCCUGUAGCUGCCCGGGAUGUUUGGCGUGCAGCCUGGGGAGCUACACUGGAACCUGUGAAGUACUCUUACCUGGAGAGGGUACCUGCCCUUCCCCCAUCCCCACCAAGGGCUGCCUCCUCCCUGCCCUGGAGGCAGCCAGCAGGCCCCAAGGUUAGGAAGGCCCAGCCUUUUUCUGGGGUGCAGCAGCUCACCAGAGCCCUCUUCCUUCCUCCUUCUUCAGCUCAGGAAGGGUCUGUCUGAACUCUAGCGAGGCUGACUAGGACAGCCAUCUCUUGGGCUAACCCUUGCUGGCAGGAGGUGUGGGGAGUAGGCAAGGUUGUCUCUUUUCUCUGUCCUCUUUCAGGGCUCUUGGUUCUGGGGAGGAGAGGGACACCAUGGGCUUGCCUGGGGAUCUGUGGACCAAGGCUGAACAGUGAGAUGGCUGAGCUGCUGGGUCUCUCCAGGUGCUGAGGAGUAGUGUCUCCCCAGUAUGCUGGAGGGGCCCAGGCAGGCUAUCCCCAAGGCCAGGGCCCUGGCUGGGGUUGGGUCCUGGCCUGGCCAGGCCCUGCCCCCGCGUGGCCAGACUUAGAAGCUGAAGGCAGGGUAGGGCAGGCAUUGAGAAAGGGUGCAGCAGGAAAGUCAGAUGUAGCUCCACUCCAGGCCGGGAGGCCCCAAGGCCUUCGGUAUCCCAGCCUGGCAAAGACUUUUGGGGGACUUACCAGGCUUUAUGGGCAAGUGGGGGCCCUACUUGUGGAGGAAAGGUUGCUAUUGAAAGGUUUAAAAGCAAUUUUCAAUCUGAGCCAAGCUCUAGGGAGCUUGGGAGCUGAAUCCUGACCUCAAGGUCCUCACAUUGGGGAGCAGCAAGGUGUGGCUGUCUGAAUGGCAGCUCCCCACCCUAGAGAACCUCAGGCUGCUAUCAAGCUCUGGAACCAAUGUUAUUGCUGGGCCUGGGGGGACUAGAGAGGGGAGGAGGGCAGCAACUUCUACUGUGCUCGCUUGGGGCAGGGAAGGAGUUCAUGGACUCCCAGCCUUUCAGCAAGCUCAGAGAUACAGCUGGAGACAUCAGAUCAUCUCCUCUGGGAAGUGGUGUGGAUUGGGGGGAGUAAGAAAAGCUGAUUCUGUAGUGCUGGAGUGAGCAUCAGAAAAGACAACUGGCGAGGAGGAGCCCCAGCCCCAUGGGUUCCCCAGGAAGCUCUGCACUCCUGGUGGUCCCACACACACUUUCUGGGCUUGUGCCCCCUGCCUCCAGGAGAAGCCAGGUCUCUGGGGAGGAGGCUAGUUGUUGCAGUGCAUGGAGGUGGGGGGGGGUCCAACCUGGCCCAGUUGCCCCUGCCAGGGCCCCAGGGAGCCUUAUUGUAUCCCCGUGUGCUUGAGAUGGAAAGGGCUGCCUGGCCAGAUGUGUUGACCUUGCCAGGUUCUUGCCCCCGUCCCUCCCUGUUCCUUUGUGCUUGCCAAAUUCGGCCAGUGCCUUUGGGCACUCAGCCUCUGGGCUCUGUGGAAUUCCAAGUUUUGCUCACCCUCAGGUUCCUGUCUGGGUAGAAAAGAAAAUACACAUGGGCUUUCCCCGGAAGUCUGGAACCGUGGAACUGCUCAGGAGCGCUCUCCACUGGACUGAGACUCACAGACCUGACCCCACCCAACAUGUGGACCACUGAGUAGGUGAGGUUAGGUCUCUCUAGGUAUGUCAUCUGCUCCACCCUUGGUGGAAAUGUGUCUCAGAUUUAAUCAACAGCAGUAUGGAGGCCACGAGGGGCCCUUGGGGAUGAUCCAACUCACUUCCCAGACACAGAAAGGGAAAUGAAGGUGGUCUGCUGGGACCAGCCCCAGCAGGGGACUCAGGGGACCUGGGGCAGGAGGCUGGCCCGCCUGGGAGUUCAGUUAACACAACUGAGGUGAAGAGGAGAUCUGAAGGGCUCUUUCCCCCACCCAGCCAUUCCUCAGCUCUACACUGGGGUCACAGGAGCUCCUGACACUGAGUCUCAUAUCUCAGGCCCCCUUUACUCCUCUUCCCUCACCACGGGACUUUGCUGUGACAUGAAUGAUUCUGAGGACUGACAGACACAAUUCCCAAUUUCUGACCCAGGCUUUCCCCUCUGCUCCGCAGAGUCAAGGGUCCCGGCACCAAUGCCCUGUCCCAGAGUGGGUUGCCAGGAGAGUCCACUGCUCCCCAAGAUUUCCCAGGAAUGUGAGAAUAGCUGAUUUUGAACACACAGCCGUGCUCCUCGGAGCACAGAAGAAUGGUUGUCCCCGCAAUGGGCAGCCACCAGGGAGGGCCUUGCUGGGCCAUCCGCAGGCUCCAGGCUCCUGCGCCCAUAGCUGCCUGGUGGCUUGGCAUUCUUGUGUCCUCUAGUCCUUGCAGGUGAUUGGCUUUCCAGAAUGUAGACGUAGGGGUGUGCCACCUAUGUUGGCCCUUGCCACCGUGCACUUCUAGGGCCCGACAGGGAGUGCUUUUGUUUUAAGGGUAAGAUGGAAACUGGGUCGGAAGUCCAGGUCCUCUCCCGGUUGGAGCCCAGGAGGGGUUUGGCUCCUACACCCCUCCCAAAGCGACCCUCCAGAAGGUACUGGAAGUCCCCCACACCUCCUUCUCAUAGACUGAGCUCAGUAGAACUGGCCGAAGGGCCGAGAAGCACUGGGGCUCCGCAACCGCUGCGGGGAGCAAUAAACGGAAUUUGUUUCCCAAGAUUUUUCUCUCGAUCCCAGAAACGUUAAAAAUGCGUCAACGAAUCCUCCAGUCAAGUUUGAGCUGCGUGUGCACUUGAGCCGCGCAGCCAUAGUGUAGAGGGUCCCCUCCUGCCGCCCUCACCCCGGGGCCUCCAGCCCGCGCUUGCCGGGACAGCUUCGUUCCCACGGCGCCCUGGCCUGCAGCGCUCGCCAAGCUGCGCGCAACAGAGCGGUCCAGGCGCAGCUCAGGAUCGCUGACCACGUAGACGCGGCCGCCUUCGGUGCUCCCGGUUCCAGCCGCGAGCGGGCAGAGCCCUGACAGCAACGAAAAUGGCAAGCCGCAUGGCUCCCGGGGCCCGGGCCGCCGGCCGAGGCCUGGGAGCCGCUAAGAGGGAGCCCGGAGCUCGCCCUCGGCGUCCCCAGAAGCCCCUAGCUGAGCGCCGUGGCGGAGCAGCGGGUGAAUGAGCUAACUCCGAAUCAACCCACGCCGGGAUUCACAUCUCGUUGUCCGAUGUCGCCAGACUCUCAGCCAAGGACCCGGUCCCACGCGGCCCACCCUCUGGGUUUGGAAACCCGAUUUUGUCUUUGUGGGCUGCGUACCCAAAUGGCGGAGGAGGAACCGCGGUGGAUUUUUUCCGCGCCACCUCGGUUUCCCCUUCUACGUGUGACACAGGGCCAGCCGCACCUGUUCUCCUAUCAGGGAUUAUUGUGGGGUUGGCAGCAAAGAAUGAACGAUGGGAAAUGCUAGCUCGGCGGAGCAGGAGACCCAGCGCAGCUCCACACUUGGGUCCAUGAUUUUGGGUGCAGAUCAGAGGAAGUGCCCUGCCCUGAGGGUCCCGGGUUGCUCUGGGGCACUCUCUGCCCACCCCUGUCCCGUCGCCUGCUCCCUCCUCCCUGAUCCUUCCCACUCCCCUGCAGUCUUCCUCAGCUGGGUGGAGCGGGUGUCCCCUCCACCCUUGGGCAGGUUUUGCCCGGCAAGGACUGUUUUCUCAGGUUCCCUUGGGGGCUGGGGGGCCCCGGAAAUGUCACACAAUAGGCUCCGAGCUGGGAGGAGGAAGAACUGGCAAUAGGGCUGGUGCCCGCUAAACUCAUAGGGAAGAACACCCGUGCACUACCCAUCCUGCUCGAGGUGUUGGGGACCUUUCCCUUCUAGGUGCAGGUUUCUGGCAUAUCCCAGAAUGUCUGGGCUGGGUCCUGAGGCUUGACCUUGGGAGUUGGGCUGCCCUUCUGGGUGAAGGUGGAGGUGGGAGUAGGGAGAACCAGGGGAGAGGGCUGGGCCUGUGGGCCAGCUCUCAGCCUUCCACCCUCUGAGCAGAUUGUGGGAGGUGGAGGAGAAGAGCCGGGGUGGAUGGGGGACACCCCACUGGACUGCUCCCCCCUCUGCUUUCUACUAAACCAAUAAUCGCAGACGCGGCUCCCUGAGCCAGCAAGAAAAGGCCAGAGACCAGGACUGCCCCAGGCAGGGAAAAAAUGACCAGUUCUGCAGAGUGACCCCAAGGUGAUGGAUUCAGGCAGAGUGUCCUCUAUGACGCGGGGGGCAGGGGGGCCUGACCCCACCAGGGCUCUUGCACCCAUGCCCCAGGACUGGAAAAAUCCAGUGGGACUCUGACCCCUCCCAGGCUUUACAACCUGAGCUCACGGGGCUCUGUGUCCCAGAGCCCUGAGGUUGUCCCCUUCCCUCCCACCAAGAUAGGAAGUAGCUCAGUGGCAAGGGACAUAGCUGCAUUCAGCGUGGUAUCCCUGAAGUCCCCACAGGUGACCUCACUGAGGCCUGCUCCGUGCUGGGGACUGGAGAUCAGGGUGGAGAUGGCAGGGUGCAGCCUUGAGCAGCUGUCACUCACAGGGACACACCCUCCUGUGACAUCAGUGAAUUAUAAUGGGUACCCAUGCUGGUGGUGGCCAACAGGGAGGACAGAGGAAGUCUACCAAAGAGGGUUGGGUUGGCUCUUCCCCUCCCAGAGCCCAGGGCUGUCCCUGUCCCUCAGUCAGAGGGACUGGCUGGGGGGGGGGGCACUUCCCCUGGUCAGACCCAGUCUUUGCCCCACUUCUGCUGGGACCCUGGGUUGGCCCAUCCAGAGUCCCUAGAAAAGCAUGAGAGGACACUAUGAAGCUUGCCUGGCUGACAAGAGAGGGCGAUGUUGGGGCCAGGCUUGAGGACCACAGCUGGGCCCUUCUUCAGGUGCCUCUCUCCCUCUGCCUCUGAGGCCCCAGGGUCUGGACCCUCCUGACCAUAACCUACCCUAAGCUGCCGUAGGACCAGUUGGUCUCCUGACAGCUGCACCUGGCACUUCCCACAGGUCUAGCUCAGGCCUCAGACCCGGGCUCACUCAUCCACCUAGGAGAGGCCCUGCAGGGCAGAGUGGUCCUGCAGCUUAGAGUCUGAGGGCUUCUGUCCCACAUGCGGGUGUCUCCUGCUCCCAACCUGGAAUGUCCAGGGUGUCUUGCCACCUCCAAAGCCCUGGCACCUGGCCCCAGGCCAGGGCUGUGCUUGGUGCUCAGUGAGUGAAGGAGUGUGUGCAGGGUCCUGUGUGCAGGGUCCUGAGAGAGUAAGCCUCUGGGCCUCCACCAGUGGGCGUCUGUCCAUCCACCCAGGGACAGACAAGGAGAUGAGGGCGGCCUGGCAGAACGUGGGCUCUGCUGCGUGCCUGAGGCUGAGUCCUCUCUAGUGUCUCCCUUGGCCCUCACUUGGUCACCCAGCAUCCAGCAUGAUAAUGCCAGCACAUGUGACUGGGGAUCCAGCAGUGAGCAAGCCAGCAGGUCCCCAGCCAGAAGGGCACAGUCUAGAAAGGGAACACAGCUAGCUGGGGAAGGAGCUCCGCAGGAGGGCAGGGGUGGGAAGGUGGACAGAGGGAACCUCUUCAGAGAGAAACCUGCCACCAGGUCCUGGCCCUGGAGGGCUCGGGCCAAACUGGGACUCCUGGGCCAGGCUGCCGUUCCAGAAAGGGUACGGGCAGCCUCCCGCUCCCGGUUGCCACACAGUGUCUUGUGACCAUCACAAGGAUCCCAUGUGACAAGGUGCGAUUAUUCCCCCUCACAGGUAGAGAAACUGAUGCUCAAGGGCCUGAGCCACCUGCAUCAGGAUCUGUCCUCGAGGCAGCAGCAGGAUUCCCACGGAAAGCUCCCUGACUGCAAAGCCUGCAUUUAACGGGCUUAGCUGCAAGGACCUGCCAGGACCAGGCCCUCCUGGACAGCGGCAGGGCCACUGUCACAGAGGGGCUCUGCCUGGGACCUUUCUCUGGGCUCCUUGACCACCAGAACCUGAAUCUGGAGAGUGCUCUGGCCCCAGGGCACCUCGGACACCAGUGUACUCGCCUGGGUCCAGGAGGACUCAGCCAUUUGGGGGUCCUUGCUUCCUGAGCCCACCUUUCACUGGGGAGUCAGGGGCCCUUUUCCCCACUUCUCCCCAGUUAACUGGGCUGGAGCUCCCAGGGGAUAAGGGAGGCUCCCUGACCUGGCCAGUGGCUUUGGGGGACUCAUUUUGGGUGCUCCUACACAUGAAGAAGGUCACACUCAUUAUCUGAGCUUCUAGUAACACAUUUCCAAUCUUAAAAAGUGUCAUUAAAAAAAAAAUAGGUGUCCAUUAAGUGUACACAAAACGUGGACCACAUGGGACAAGGUUGUUCUAAUGAAUACGACUAAGGCAGUUUUCACAUCAGAGAAAUAACAGCUCCUCAUCGAAACGUGGCACUUUUAAAGAGGUUAAUUGAUAAACAGCAGGUAAUUGUUCGUGGUGCGUUGUGGCGCAGGGUAAUUUUCAUUUGAGAGGAUGGAAGGGCCAAGUACCCCUCCCCACUCAGCAUUUUUCUGUAAUAAUCACCUUGGCUUCCCCUCCGCCUUUAAUUUUUACAGCUGGAGCUGUUUAUCAUCGCUCCAACUUUCACUAAAGAGGCAAAACUAUCACUUAAACAAAGCCAUUGAAAACUCGGCAUCGUACGCGGCUUUCUUAACAUAAAUAAAUCCUACAAACCAAGAUUUAUGUUCUCUGGAUGAUGUCAUUCAUUGAAGGCUGCUUCCCAAUCAGGUCAGCAUUUCCUGAUUCUCCCUUUGUGCGUGUGCUUUUCGCUAACUAGGAACAACCCGCUCUUUUGUCUCCAUCCCAAGACCUCAGAAGGGUCUCACCCUGGGUCAGAGCCGGGUCUCAAUGGUGAGGACGGCUUUCACUGCGGCCUGCCUCCCAAGCCCCCGCUUUUGAAGCUCGGCCUGAGGUUGACAGACUGGGAAGCCAACCCUCAGCGCCCGGCAGGAGUCCCGGCCCCAGCUCCUCCGCAGGAACCCAGUCCCGGGUGAGAGGAGGAGCAUCAGUCCUGAGGGGAUAGGCAGGUGCCAGGGAGAGGCAUGUGGCCAUAGAUGGGACCGGAGCCCUGGCUCACGGUCAGCUGCGAGGAACCAAGAACAUGAAGCUGAGGGACGAUACCCGUCACCCAAGGUCACAUCUUGUAGGAUUCACAUCAUGAAAUGCCCAGGUCCUGCCAACCUAGAGUCGGUGAAGACAGAUUCCUGAGGAGCAGGCAGGGGACGCCUGCUUCAGGGGUUCCUUGUGAGGAAAUGUCUGGAAGGGGCCGUGCGGAGGUGGCACUCCUUGGGAGCCUGCUGAAGACCGCAGCCUCGAACCCUCAACAACGGCGGACGGGACGUGGUGACACGGAACCAGAUCCCCUCGGAGCUGCUGUUUAAAAUCACUACUCAGCAUUCACAUUUCAAAAGUCU